GAUCUCAGCUUACUGCAACCUCUGCCUUCCAGAAUCCUGAUCUGGGCUACCCUAUCUGUGCUUCUGGUGAGGUGGGCCCAGAACCAUCGUGUGAAUAAUGAUUGACCUCAGCUAGUGGUUCUCAUGGAGUGAUUGAUUUUGCUUCCCAGAGGACAUCAGCAAUGUCUGGAGACAUUUCCAGUUGUCACUACUUGAGAGGAAGCGUGAUCGGCCUCUAGAAGGGAGAGACCAGGGAUGCCGCUGCUCAAUAUCCUAUAAUGCACAGAACAGCUUCUACGACAAAGAGUUAUUCCACCAAAAAUGUCAGUAGUGCCAAGGUUGAGAGAACCUGCUCUAGGGUAAUCAGUGUGGUCCCAAUCUCCCUGUCAGUAACUGAUUCAACUCACAUAAUAAUCUUAUGGGAGUGUGAUGUAAUUCUAGCCAAUAAAAUGCAAUGGGAAGUUGGCCGAGAUACUUCUGAAAAAAUCUUCUCUUACCCCUAAAAAGAGACAUUCAUUUUCUGUUGAAAUGCAUUACUUUCCUAAAUAAAAUCAUAUUUACCAACAACGAGAAAAAGAGAAACAUGCAAGAAACCAUCUGUUUGCUGCUAGAUGCCAUUGUGUCUGCAAUGUGAUAUCUGGAACUAUGGCUGUCAUCCUGGAACCAUGAGAGGAGUUAGCUGAAGAAACAGGAGGAUGGCAAAGCGGAAGGAUGGAAGUUACCUGAGGCUGAGGACAUCAGUGCACCUCUGAUUUAACCAAUCCUUGAGACUUCUUGUUAUAUGAGAUAAUAAAUUCUAUUGCUAUUUAAGUCAUG
Molecule: long non-coding RNA, 795 nt
Filed under: Homo sapiens (human)
Lineage: Eukaryota; Metazoa; Chordata; Mammalia; Primates; Hominidae
Description: HSALNT0377124
Source: RNAcentral